Long non-coding RNA from Homarus americanus (American lobster), 4502 nucleotides. RefSeq lists it as uncharacterized. Lineage: Eukaryota; Metazoa; Arthropoda; Malacostraca; Decapoda; Nephropidae. The transcript is spliced from 2 exons. The record is from RefSeq and is a predicted model, not a curated record.
AGGUGAGAGCCGUACCUGUGAUUUUGCUUGACCACGGGUAGACCUCAGCGUCAGGACGAAGGAUCAGGAGGGAAAUCUCAGCCAUAAUUCGUGCCUAUAAUGCAACCUGCACCAGAUUGAUCGCCUCAGCGCAAGGAUUGAUUUGCCACAGCACCAGACCUGAUCAACUGCAGCGCUUAGACUGAUCAGCCUAGGCACUUCGACUGGAACACCCGCUGCGCCAGGACUGAUCCACUUGCAGCAACAGGAGUGAUUAGCUGUAUCACCUGAACUGAUCAAUUGCAGUACCAGGAGUGAUCAGGUAUACCACCUGAGUUGAUCAUUAAUACCACCACGAGUGACCAGCUGUACCGUUUGAGCUGAUCGCUAGCAGCACCAAAGUGCUACACAUAGCUCCUCAAGGACUGAUGCCAGAAAGUAGCGACGGAGUGACACGCAUAAACUGAAGCUAGUGUGUAGAACGAGUGAGUGGUGGUGAGUGGCACCUGUGGAAACGAAUGUGUUGAAAAGCGGGAGAAGCUCCAUGUCUGUUGUAACGAACCAGAGGAGGUGUGACCGAUCCCUUUGGUCCUGUUUUGUAAUAUGAUGCUGUCAGGCUAUUAGAAUUUUUGGAAGAAAACAGUAAUAAAGGAGAAUUACAAAAAUCAAAAGAGACAGAAAGAGGAGGCAAACCUCUCUUCUCUUUUGUUAUCACUGACAGGAGAGAGAGGAUAACUAAGAAUUAUGAAUACAGUAUUUUGUAAGCAAAAUAAUGGCUCUUGAAGCUUUUCAGAGAAACUAUUGGAACUGUCCGUCUGCACCAGGAGCUACAUACACUGAAAGGAUGAACUGUGUGUGUGUAUUUUUUUUUAAACUAAGUAUUUCAGUGUGUGUGUAUGUGUAUUGAAGUAUGUGAACUAGGCCGCACUGGGGAAUGAUCCCAUGUUUCUCUUCCAGGUUACGUGGGCUGGCAACAACGGGGUAGCGAGGUGGCUGUAUUCUUUUAUUAGUACACAAUCCUGCGUUCGGUGUUUACUUAUUUCGGUUUUGAGACUUAAAAUGGAGCCUAUUUUCUGCUUGAGAAGCACCAGUCGAUUUGAUUCCUUUGUAAUGCCUAAAACGAACAUUCAGUAAGCUGUAGUUUUUUAGUGCGUAGAUGGUUACCAUCAACAGUUCAAAAUUUACCACGUUAUUGUGCUUUAUUCACCGUGUAAAUCUAUAAUGAGCAGGCACGAGGAGACCUUCAGAGAGCGGUUGUAGACACUUCUUGUCUAACUAGUCUUAACCAUCCAUCCACUCGAUGAUUUGUAUUGUUGAUAUUACCCUCUAGUAAGUACAAAUGGCUCACUUCAUUCUUAAAUUUAGAUAUAGAAAAGUUGCUUUUGUUGGUACAAGCAUCGCUGCACAAACUUUGUGACUUGAAAUGUAUGCAUUAGUGUAUUAGCUUUGCCGUGUGGAAUGGAGUGCUUUAGAAUAGAAUAUCUGACUAGCUCGUAGCAGCAUUACAAUGUGUCGCAUCUCAUGUCUUUCCUCAACUUGUAUAGGUACUACAUUAAUACUAAGAUUUGUCAGCUAAUGCUCGAAAUAUCUUUAUAUAGAAUAUAAAUAUAAAUUAUUCAUAAUGAUGCACGAUAAUAAGUUAUAAUAAUACCCAUUCGAAUUGUUUAAUACAAAAAUUCAUACCCUUUCGCUCGGGCUUUCGCUGUCGCCAGAACGAUACUCGGCGUCAUGUACAGAUUAAUUGACACUUGUGGAGCCGAGAACAGCUUCGAGUGACUGACUAGUGUGUUGCUUCACUGGUCACUAUACUCUACUGUGUACCUUGAAGUGUUGUUUUGUUUUGACUUUUGCGUAGCAUCGAUUCUUACCCCCAGUGCGGCCGAGGGCAGUAAUGGAGUGUACUGUACUACACCAUCGCUUAACUAUGACUUGUGAUUGUGAUAUUCGGAAGUCUCUGCCAAUAUAUAACUCGGUAAUUCCUUGCGUUGUUUCAGUAGUUCGAAAUAAACGUUAGAGGAAAAGAUGUAGUUUGUAUUGGAAGCCAUUUUGUAUUGUGUAUUCUGCAGCUGUAUGAUAGCCUUUGUAUAUACGCUUGUAUGUAACGAAAUCUUGUAUUUACUUUGAUAAGGAGUUCUGUCAUAGGAUUAUCAGUAUUUCGUCUAGCGUCUUUGAAUCACCUGCGGGCUCUGGGAGGGUCAUAACCGGGGGUUUUAGUCUUGCAUUUGGCCAGACCUGCACACAGUUUUGUUUUUUCGAUUAACCUCGUCUGUAGAGAUUUUCUCAGUUUCUUCAUUUUAUUUUAUUCUCGAUGUUUUUUCUUGGAUUUAUUGUGGAAACUUCAAUCGAGUUCUUUAGUUUAUCUGCUCUGCUGUAGGUUUUUUUUAUAUAGUCUACUAAUCCCACCUUCAAAAGUCCUCUUGAAGAUUUGACCUUACAUCUUUACCCAGAUAAAUUGGCUCAGUCCAUUUGUAGGAUGACUUCGUAACACUUAUGUUUGGUACUCACAUUGCACAUUGUAUCCCUUCAUCUCCCUAACCAUAAUAUUUCGCAUCACUUAAACUGAACGAAUCACCCGCUAAAUAUUACAGUCAGUCAAAGAUGAACCCAGCAGCUUCAGCUUAAUAUUACAAUUAUUAACAUUAUCUUUUUUGUUGACUUUGUGGUCGUGUUUGAAGUGUGAUGUAGAAGUCAUAAUCCUAUUUUAAUGAUAGUAUUGUUUAUAGUUCUGCCUCAAAGUAUCGUGUUGAUAAGUAAUAUUUAGUUAACUGUCUCUUAAAAGCAGAAAAAUUUUAUAAGUGGCCACAACCAAACGUUUCAAUUCCUUUAGACCAGAGGUCACCAAACUACGGCCCGCGGGCCGGAUCCCAAGUCCUUCCCCGGCUCGUGGGAGCUCCGCCUACGCUCUGACGUUACCAGAGCUUUCGUUCUGGCUUGCAAGUAUUGAACAGAAUGAUUAUGCGGCCCGCGCUCGUCAUUCUUUCAGUUAUCCGGCCCACUGUGAAAAAAGUUUGGUGACCCCUGCUUUAGACUAAAGACUCAGCCAACAGGAUCUCCCCCCUUGCUUAAUCAGUAGUGCGUACAGUCAAAGAAAAAAGGCGCUUUACACUUACCGUGCUUAAUGUUCUGAAACCUAAGACGAAGAAUUUUGGUUCAGACUUGAACCUUAAAGCUUCGUUGUCACUUUACCAAAAUUCUUCGUCAUUGAUUUCGGAACAAAACGCUACGGGGUGUAAGACGGCGACUUUUUUCUGUGAACAAAGAUAACUUGUCACUACAAGAAAGUAACAAACAUAGUGUUACCCCAUCUCUCAUAGCCUCGUAUUACCACUCAUCUCCACUCUGUAUAAAUACAUUUCCCUUUUCACUAAUUCCAUCAAUGUUCAUCUUACACCAGAUCAUUUUGACAAUACAUAUUCAACCUCAGGUGUUAACAGUUGAGGGAAAUGUUCCUCGCAGUUUAUGCCAAUUGCUGUUUUUAGCUUCCUUUAUUUGAUAAAACAUAUCUAUUGGGGCCGUUUGGUAGCUGCCACCCCUGGAGCCCCUUCUGGUUAUUAGACGAAAAAGACUACCUGGUAUGUGACUGGAGUGUUGCCAUAUUGCGUUCCAUGUAGGAUUCCCUCUGCAUGAGUAGUCUGCCUGGCUUAGGCUUGGAGACUUAUUUUCAUUCACUUACAUUGGGAACAUCUUUAGAGAGUUUCUGGUUAGAUACGUGUGUGUGUUGUUUUAUGUUAUUAAUAUGAAAUAAAUUCUAAUUAGUUAAGGAUAUAACUUAUAAUUUGAUGAAUUUAAUGAUAUUAAAAGUGGACCUUUUAUAUCAUUUGAAUAUCGAGCUGUUGAGAGUCUUUGUCUUACAUAAAACGAUGCAUGCAUAUUAGCAUGAAAAAAUCCAGAUGUUUUCUUUCUUGAUUCUUCGCAUUUGAAUCCCAAGCAAAUACUCCCGAUUUAAGCUCAGUUUGACAGUAGAGGGUCGGGCCUUCGCGGGCUCAUCAGUGGCUCAGCUUAUUCAGUUGCUGUUUUGAAGGAAAUACUAAGCUAAGCUGUAUUUACAUGUGCGCAUUUUUGUAGGUUCGACUUCAUCGUUCUUCGAUCACGGAACCAUAAAGUCAUAACUGUGACGUCCAUAGCAUGGAGAAUAAUAGACUCCUUGAUCAGAGAGCAAAUAAUGCCUUCUCGGGAUUUUAGAUCCCGCAAAAUAACGGAGCAGACCUUGUUUAUUGACGUCAUAUCUCUGAUCGAGAAUCCACAAGUCACUAAUAAGUCUAACCUACACUAUCGCCACCUGGAUUCUUCCGAACUUGUGUUUACAGUCUUCGAGGGAAGACUCAAGAUAGCCCUCGUUUUUGCAAGUCUUUUUAUUAAUCUUAACAUAAAAGAGAGAUGUAUUAGUCUCGCUCAUUCUUGGUGUAAGUUUUGUCAUACUUAUUUUUACUUCUUUAAGUGUAAGUUCAUGCAUAAGUCAGUCGAGUAGGCCAUAUUCUGUAAAUAUUGUAAAAGUUAUUUAAUAAAAUAUCGCUGAAACAAAA